Molecule: ribosomal RNA, 465 nt
Filed under: uncultured bacterium
Lineage: Bacteria
Description: partial 16S ribosomal RNA
Rfam family: Bacterial small subunit ribosomal RNA
Source: RNAcentral
CCUACGGGCGGCAGCAGUGGGGAAUAUUGCGCAAUGGGCGAAAGCCUGACGCAGCGACGCCGCGUGUGGGAUGAAGGCCUUCGGAUCGUAAACCUCUGUCAGCAGGGAAGAACGGUCACUUUGCUAAUCAGCAGUGCAUUGACGGUACCUGCACAGGAAGCACCGGCUAACUCCGUGCCAGCAGCCGCGGUAAUACGGAGGGUGCGAGCGUUAAUCGGAAUUACUGGGCGUAAAGCGGUCGUAGGCGGUAUGGCAAGUCCGGGGGGAAAUCCCCGCGCUCAACCUGGGAAAUGCCUUGGAAACUGGCAGACUGGAGUGUGUGAGAGGAUAGUGGAAUUCCAGGUGUAGGAGUGAAAUCCGUAGAUAUCUGGAGGAACAUCAGUGGCGAAGGCGACUAUCUGGCACAUAACUGACGCUGAGGAGCGAAAGCGUGGGUAGCAAACAGGAUUAGAUACCCGAGUAGUC